GAAACUAACAAGGAUUCCCCUAGUAACGGCGAGUGAAAAGGGAAGAGCCCAAGAUUGAAAGCUGGCGUCUUCGGCGUCCGCAUUGUAAUCUCAAGAAGUGUUUUCCGCUUCGGACCAAGCCUAAGUCCCCUGGAAAGGGGCAUCAUAGAGGGUGAUAAUCCCGUACAUGGCUUGGAGCGCCCGAGGCUUUGUGAUACGCUUUCUAAGAGUCGAGUUGUUUGGGAAUGCAGCUCAAAAUGGGUGGUAAAUGCCAUCUAAGGCUAAAUAUUGGGGAGAGACCGAUAGCGAACAAGUACAGUGAUGGAAAGAUGAAAAGAACUUUGAAAAGAGAGUUAAACAGUACGUGAAAUUGCCAAAAGGGAAGGGUAGGAGGUCAGAGAUGCGGCCUGGGAUUCAGCCUUGCUUUUGCUUGGUGUUUUUCCCAGAUUGCAGGCCAACGUCGGUUUUGGGCACUGGAGAAGGGUAGGAGGAACGUGGCACCCCUCGGGGUGUGUUAUAGCCUCCUACUGGAUACAGCGACCGAGACCGAGGACAGCAGCGUACUCGCAAGAGCGGGCCUUCGGGCACCUUUACGCUUAGGGCGUUGGCAUAAAUGGCCCUCUACCACCCGUCUUGAAACACGGA
This 624-nucleotide ribosomal RNA is filed under the name Dicrotendipes sp. SK-2011. RNAcentral describes it as "eukaryotic LSU rRNA". It matches the Rfam family "Eukaryotic large subunit ribosomal RNA", at positions 61 to 665 of the family's 3401-position model. Lineage: Eukaryota; Metazoa; Arthropoda; Insecta; Diptera; Chironomidae. The record is from RNAcentral.